UUGAAGUUCAGGUAACACUGAAUGGAGGACCGAACCGACUUACGUUGAAAAGUGAGCGGAUGAACUGAGGGUAGCGGAGAAAUUCCAAUCGAACCUGGAGAUAGCUGGUUCUCUCCGAAAUAGCUUUAGGGCUAGCCUCAAGUGAUGAUUAUUGGAGGUAGAGCACUGUUUGGACGAGGGGCCCCUCUCGGGUUACCGAAUUCAGACAAACUCCGAAUGCCAAUUAAUUUAACUUGGGAGUCAGAACAUGGGUGAUAAGGUCCGUGUUCGAAAGGGAAACAGCCCAGACCACCAGCUAAGGUCCCAAAAUAUAUGUUAAGUGGAAAAGGAUGUGGCGUUGCCCAGACAACUAGGAUGUUGGCUUAGAAGCAGCCAUCAUUUAAAGAGUGCGUAAUAGCUCACUAGUCGAGUGACACUGCGCCGAAAAUGUACCGGGGCUAAACAUAUUACCGAAGCUGUGGAUUGUCCUUUGGACAAUGGUAGGAGAGCGUUCUAAGGGCGUUGAAGCAUGAUCGUAAGGACAUGUGGAGCGCUUAGAAGUGAGAAUGCCGGUGUGAGUAGCGAAAGACGGGUGAGAAUCCCGUCCACCGAUUGACUAAGGUUUCCAGAGGAAGGCUCGUCCGCUCUGGGUUAGUCGGGUCCUAAGCUGAGGCCGACAGGCGUAGGCGAUGGAUAACAGGUUGAUAUUCCUGUACCACCUAUAAUCGUUUUAAUCGAUGGGGGGACGCAGUAGGAUAGGCGAAGCGUGCGAUUGGAUUGCACGUCUAAGCAGUAAGGCUGAGUAUUAGGCAAAUCCGGUACUCGUUAAGGCUGAGCUGUGAUGGGGAGAAGACAUUGUGUCUUCGAGUCGUUGAUUUCACACUGCCGAGAAAAGCCUCUAGAUAGAAAAUAGGUGCCCGUACCGCAAACCGACACAGGUAGUCAAGAUGAGAAUUCUAAGGUGAGCGAGCGAACUCUCGUUAAGGAACUCGGCAAAAUGACCCCGUAACUUCGGGAGAAGGGGUGCUCUUUAGGGUUAACGCCCAGAAGAGCCGCAGUGAAUAGGCCCAAGCGACUGUUUAUCAAAAACACAGGUCUCUGCUAAACCGUAAGGUGAUGUAUAGGGGCUGACGCCUGCCCGGUGCUGGAAGGUUAAGAGGAGUGGUUAGCUUCUGCGAAGCUACGAAUCGAAGCCCCAGUAAACGGCGGCCGUAACUAUAACGGUCCUAAGGUAGCGAAAUUCCUUGUCGGGUAAGUUCCGACCCGCACGAAAGGCGUAACGAUUUGGGCACUGUCUCAACGAGAGACUCGGUGAAAUCAUAGUACCUGUGAAGAUGCAGGUUACCCGCGACAGGACGGAAAGACCCCGUGGAGCUUUACUGUAGCCUGAUAUUGAAAUUCGGCACAGCUUGUACAGGAUAGGUAGGAGCCUUUGAAACGUGAGCGCUAGCUUACGUGGAGGCGCUGGUGGGAUACUACCCUAGCUGUGUUGGCUUUCUAACCCGCACCACUUAUCGUGGUGGGAGACAGUGUCAGGCGGGCAGUUUGACUGGGGCGGUCGCCUCCUAAAAGGUAACGGAGGCGCUCAAAGGUUCCCUCAGAAUGGUUGGAAAUCAUUCAUAGAGUGUAAAGGCAUAAGGGAGCUUGACUGCGAGACCUACAAGUCGAGCAGGGUCGAAAGACGGACUUAGUGAUCCGGUGGUUCCGCAUGGAAGGGCCAUCGCUCAACGGAUAAAAGCUACCCCGGGGAUAACAGGCUUAUCUCCCCCAAGAGUUCACAUCGACGGGGAGGUUUGGCACCUCGAUGUCGGCUCAUCGCAUCCUGGGGCUGUAGUCGGUCCCAAGGGUUGGGCUGUUCGCCCAUUAAAGCGGUACGCGAGCUGGGUUCAGAACGUCGUGAGACAGUUCGGUCCCUAUCCGUCGUGGGCGUAGGAAAUUUGAGAGGAGCUGUCCUUAGUACGAGAGGACCGGGAUGGACAUACCUCUGGUGUACCAGUUGUCGUGCCAACGGCAUAGCUGGGUAGCUAUGUGUGGACGGGAUAAGUGCUGAAAGCAUCUAAGCAUGAAGCCCCCCUCAAGAUGAGAUUUCCCAACUUCGGUUAUAAGAUCCCUCAAAGAUGAUGAGGUUAAUAGGUUCGAGGUGGAAGCAUGGUGACAUGUGGAGCUGACGAAUACUAAUCGAUCGAAGACUUAAUCAA
RNAcentral lists this ribosomal RNA (2177 nucleotides) under Staphylococcus aureus. RNAcentral describes it as "partial 23S ribosomal RNA". It matches the Rfam family "Bacterial large subunit ribosomal RNA", at positions 745 to 2925 of the family's 2925-position model. The record is from RNAcentral. Lineage: Bacteria; Bacillati; Bacillota; Bacilli; Caryophanales; Staphylococcaceae.